GAUCAUGGCUCAGGAUGAACACUGGCGGCGUGCUUAACACAUGCAAGUCGAGCGAAGCACUUUACUUGGAUUUCUUCGGAAUGACGAGUAUUGUGACUGAGCGGCGGACGGGUGAGUAACGCGUGGGUAACCUGCCUCAUACAGGGGGAUAACAGUUAGAAAUGACUGCUAAUACCGCAUAAGACCACAGCACCGCAUGGUGCAGGGGUAAAAACUCCGGUGGUAUGAGAUGGACCCG
This 238-nucleotide ribosomal RNA is filed under the name uncultured bacterium. RNAcentral's name for it is "partial 16S ribosomal RNA". It matches the Rfam family "Bacterial small subunit ribosomal RNA", at positions 15 to 233 of the family's 1533-position model. The record is from RNAcentral.